RNAcentral lists this ribosomal RNA (497 nucleotides) under uncultured bacterium. Its description in RNAcentral is "partial 16S ribosomal RNA". It matches the Rfam family "Bacterial small subunit ribosomal RNA", at positions 28 to 507 of the family's 1533-position model. The record is from RNAcentral.
GAUGAACGCUGGCGGCGUGCCUAAUACAUGCAAGUCGAGCGAACGGACGAGAAGCUUGCUUCUCUGAUGUUAGCGGCGGACGGGUGAGUAACACGUGGAUAACCUACCUAUAAGACUGGGAUAACUUCGGGAAACCGGAGCUAAUACCGGAUAAUAUUUUGAACCGCAUGGUUCAAAAGUGAAAGACGGUCUUGCUGUCACUUAUACAUGGAUCCGCGCUGCAUUAGCUAGUUGGUAAGGUAACGGCUUACCAAGGCAACGAUGCAUAGCCGACCUGAGAGGGUGAUCGGCCACACUGGAACUGAGACACGGUCCAGACUCCUACGGGAGGCAGCAGUAGGGAAUCUUCCGCAAUGGGCGAAAGCCUGACGGAGCAACGCCGCGUGAGUGAUGAAGGUCUUCGGAUCGUAAAACUCUGUUAUUAGGGAAGAACAUAUGUGUAAGUAACUGUGCACAUCUUGACGGUACCUAAUCAGAAAGCCACGGCUAACUACGUG